RNAcentral lists this ribosomal RNA (301 nucleotides) under uncultured bacterium. Its description in RNAcentral is "partial 16S ribosomal RNA". It matches the Rfam family "Bacterial small subunit ribosomal RNA", at positions 509 to 807 of the family's 1533-position model. The record is from RNAcentral.
CAGCAGCCGCGGGAAAACGAAGGGGGCUAGCGUUGCUCGGAAUCACUGGGCGUAAAGGGUGCGUAGGCGGGUCUUUAAGUCAGGGGUGAAAUCCUGGAGCUCAACUCCAGAACUGCCUUUGAUACUGAAGAUCUUGAGUUCGGGAGAGGUGAGUGGAACUGCGAGUGUAGAGGUGAAAUUCGUAGAUAUUCGCAAGAACACCAGUGGCGAAGGCGGCUCACUGGCCCGAUACUGACGCUGAGGCACGAAAGCGUGGGGAGCAAACAGGAUUAGAUACCCGUGUAGUCCCUGUCUCUUAUAC